Molecule: ribosomal RNA, 386 nt
Filed under: uncultured bacterium
Lineage: Bacteria
Description: bacterial SSU rRNA
Rfam family: Bacterial small subunit ribosomal RNA
Source: RNAcentral
AUUGAACGCUGGCGGCAUGCCUUACACAUGCAAGUCGAACGGCAGCACGGGAGCAAUCCUGGUGGCGAGUGGCGAACGGGUGAGUAAUAUAUCGGAACGUGCCCAGUCGUGGGGGAUAACGUAGCGAAAGCUACGCUAAUACCGUAUACGAUCUAUGGAUGAAAGCGGGGGAUCGCAAGACCUCGCGCGAUUGGAGCGGCCGAUAUCAGAUUAGGUAGUUGGUGGGGUAAAAGCCUACCAAGCCUUCGAUCUGUAGCUGGUCUGAGAGGACGACCAGCCACACUGGAACUGAGACACGGUCCAGACUCCUACGGGAGGCAGCAGUGGGGAAUUUUGGACAAUGGGCGCAAGCCUGAUCCAGCAAUGCCGCGUGCAGGAUGAAGGCC